UGGGGAAUAUUGCACAAUGGGCGCAAGCCUGAUGCAGCCAUGCCGCGUGUGUGAAGAAGGCCUUCGGGUUGUAAAGCACUUUCAGCGGGGAGGAAGGCGAUAAGGUUAAUAACCUCAUCGAUUGACGUUACCCGCAGAAGAAGCACCGGCUAACUCCGUGCCAGCAGCCGCGGUAAUACGGAGGGUGCAAGCGUUAAUCGGAAUUACUGGGCGUAAAGCGCACGCAGGCGGUCUGUCAAGUCGGAUGUGAAAUCCCCGGGCUCAACCUGGGAUCUGCAUCUGAUACUGGCAAGCUUGAGUCUCGUAGAGGGGGGUAGAAUUCCAGGUGUAGCGGUGAAAUGCGUAGAGAUCUGGAGGAAUACCGGUGGCGAAGGCGGCCCCCUGGACGAAGACUGACGCUCAGGUGCGAAAGCGUGGGGAGCAAACAGG
Molecule: ribosomal RNA, 429 nt
Filed under: Chloroflexota bacterium
Lineage: Bacteria; Bacillati; Chloroflexota
Description: Chloroflexi bacterium partial 16S ribosomal RNA
Rfam family: Bacterial small subunit ribosomal RNA
Source: RNAcentral